AGUGAACGCUGGCGGUAGGCCUAACACAUGCAAGUCGAACGGCAGCAGAGUAAGAGCUUGCUCUUACGGGUGGCGAGUGGCGGACGGGUGAGGAAUACAUCGGAAUCUACUUUUUCGUGGGGGAUAACGUAGGGAAACUUACGCUAAUACCGCAUACGACCUACGGGUGAAAGCAGGGGAUCUUCGGACCUUGCGCGAUUGAAUGAGCCGAUGUCGGAUUAGCUAGUUGGCGGGGUAAAGGCCCACCAAGGCGACGAUCCGUAGCUGGUCUGAGAGGAUGAUCAGCCACACUGGAACUGAGACACGGUCCAGACUCCUACGGGAGGCAGCAGUGGGGAAUAUUGGACAAAGGGCGCAAGCCUGAUCCAGCCAUACCGCGUGGGUGAAGAAGGCCUUCGGGUUGUAAAGCCCUUUUGUUGGGAAAGAAAAGCAGCAGGUUAAUACCCCGCUGUUCUGACGGUACCCAAAGAAUAAGCACCGGCUAACUUCGUG
Molecule: ribosomal RNA, 492 nt
Filed under: uncultured bacterium
Lineage: Bacteria
Description: partial 16S ribosomal RNA
Rfam family: Bacterial small subunit ribosomal RNA
Source: RNAcentral